UUUUAUGCCCACUAAAAUCUGAGCAGCAUUGGCCUAGGACACAGCUGUUUAAAAAACUCUCCUGCUGAGAUAGACAAGAAAAAUAAAUUUGGAUGAUUUCUGGACUUUAGAUUCCUUAACCUUUAACUCACAUUGGUGCAGUGGCUCAUGCCUGUAAUCCCAGCAUUUGGGAAGGCUGAGGUAGACAGGACCUGAGCCCAGGAGUUGGAGACCAGCCUGGGCAACAUCACUACAUUCCAUCUCUACAAAAAAUUAAAAUUAGCCAGGCGUGGUGGUAUGUGCCUGCAACUCCAGCUACUCAGGAAGCCGAGGUGUUUGGGAGGAUCACUUGAGCCUGGGAAGGCGAGGCUGCAGUGAUCCGCGAUAGUACCAUGGGACUCCAACCUGGGUGACACAGCAAGACUCUCAGAAAGAAGGAAGGGGUGGAUUUCUAUUCAAAUUUGGAGCUGUUCUAACUUGUAGCAUUUUAUAUAGGAAUGUCUUCAUAUUGUCAUUUAGUCUCAUCACAAACCUCUGAUAGACCAUAUGGUUGCAUAUAAUUUAAUUAAGAUAGGAAAUAAAAUAAUAGGGGGUGAUUUUUAGUCUUGGGGAUAGUCAUGGAAAUAAUUUAAUGAAUGUUCUGUUCUGACCCAUUUUAGAACCUUAGCAUUCAUCUCCUUCCUUAAGGGUAUGACCAUAAUAGCAACAUGCUUAACUGAGU
RNAcentral lists this non-coding RNA (700 nucleotides) under Pongo abelii (Sumatran orangutan). The record is from RNAcentral. Lineage: Eukaryota; Metazoa; Chordata; Mammalia; Primates; Hominidae.